GGGACGGUGGCGAAGUGGUAACGCGGCGGUCUGCAAAACCGCCAUGCGAGGGUUCGAUUCCCUCCCGUCCCUCCA
RNAcentral lists this transfer RNA (75 nucleotides) under Acidobacteriota bacterium. RNAcentral's name for it is "Acidobacteria bacterium (soil metagenome) tRNA-Cys". It matches the Rfam family "tRNA". Rfam says of the family: Transfer RNA (tRNA) molecules are approximately 80 nucleotides in length. Their secondary structure includes four short double-helical elements and three loops (D, anti-codon, and T loops). Lineage: Bacteria; Pseudomonadati; Acidobacteriota. RNAcentral also lists the same sequence under 1 other name. The record is from RNAcentral.